Molecule: ribosomal RNA, 433 nt
Filed under: uncultured bacterium
Lineage: Bacteria
Description: partial 16S ribosomal RNA
Rfam family: Bacterial small subunit ribosomal RNA
Source: RNAcentral
AACGAACGCUGGCGGCAUGCCUAACACAUGCAAGUCGAACGAGACCUUCGGGUCUAGUGGCGCACGGGUGCGUAACGCGUGGGAACCUGCCCUUAGGUUCGGAAUACCUCCCCGUAAGGGGUGCUAAUACCGGAUAAUUUCUUCGGACCAAAGAUUUAUCGCCUUUGGAUGGGCCCGCGUUGGUUUAGCCGGUGGGGAGGGUAAAAGCCUAUCAGGGCGAGGAUCCAUAGCUGGUCUGAGAGGAAGAUCAGCCACACUGGGACUGAGACACGGCCCAGAAUCCUACGGGAGGGAGCAGAGGGGAAUAUUGGACGAUGGGGGAAAGCCUGAUCCAGCAAUGCCGCGUGAGUGAUGAAGGCCGUAGGGUUGUAAAGCUCUUUUACCCGGGAUGAUAAUGACGGUACCGGGAGAAUAAGCUCCGGCUAACUCCGUG